CGACAACGAAGGCGUAGGUGCUUAGAAACGGUGUGUGCGUGUGACACAAGACGCGGCAGCGCCCUGCCGGUGGAGUAGGUGGGGAUGGGCGGAGGCAGUGGGCCUCAAGUCCGUUGGUUGGAGCGUAUCGGAGGAGGCAGGAGAGGGCCGCAGCGUCCGUCCCCUGUGGAUCGAAGGGUGGUAGGAUCGACGGCCGUCGCCGCGACUUGAACCCUCCGUUGCUGGAUCUUUGUCCUCAAAGUCAUACGUUGUUUACCGCGAUAGACGCAAGCAGUGCUGGGGGAGGAGCAGUAUAUCGUUAUUGAAUGGCCCCAACUGACGGGCGGCCAGAGUUUCUACCGUGCGCUCUGCGGACGCGUCGUUCCAAGCUCGCGUCCGUGUUGUUCUCAACGUCAUAUUCUUCGAACCUCUAAGUCUGGAAGAACAGUCGCUCUAAUGAGAACCUUGUUACUGAAAACCCCUCGUUUUGUGUCUCUUCCUUCGUGUACUAUACGAAAGAAUAAGAAAACUAGUCCCGUAGUUAUAGGACCUGUGACGUCUUUACAUAGGUCAAGGUUGUUUCUUCCUUUGAGUUCCCGCCUGACUAGAUAUAUAUCCGUCCACCUACGUUAGGUUCGGUGCUCUGUUCCACUAAGAUCGGUGGUUUCAAAGACCAAUAAGUCUCGCUAGAUGAAUAGAAGCCCUAUUACGUCUCCACCAUGCACAGCUACGGCGGUUAUAGUUCCUUUCACAACUUUUCUCAGAAAGUGCAAAUAGAUGUCUGAUGUAACUAAACGAAGUCUAUGUGACCGGGCUAUCCAUACACGGUUAUAAACCGCUUAAGUCAAUAUUAAGUUGGUUUACCUCCGGUUCGCAAGGUAAACUCCUAGUUAACUUUCGAAAGGUCCUCGAUUAACUACUUCCUUUCCAUGCGAUAUAGCCACAAAGGUUACUUUCGAGUAUACCUCAUUACCUCAAACAUGUCCGACGGUUUGAAGUUCCUGAAGGUUUCUAACACUCGUAGGUCUUGUCAAUAUCAGAUUAACACUCUACGGCGAAACUUCAACUAGAACAACUCCAGACGGUGGGUUUAUUGACGUUACACCCCGACGAACGGAUGAGGGGUGACCGCCCACCGCAAGAGUCGCCUUUCAUAGAACUACGAUUGAGACGACCACGUUUCUCCUCGUCCGACUUAGAGAAGGGCCCUAUGUACCUCGCGAUGUUGCGCAGAAACCGAUUUCUUCGUUGCCUGCUCAUACAGUUCGAACGGUUCUUCGUACCCGAUUGUGGCCAGGUCGAACGGGAGCCGAAACACGCACUGGCGGGAAAGUGUCGAUCGUGGUAGUAUCCUCGCUGGUGGUACCUAGUCGAUUUCCUCUUGUAGCUACGUAAAUGGUCGCGAGGCGCCGGAGACGGUGGCGUUCAGGAGCUACUGUAACUCUAAGAAAAGUUCUUUAUGUUUCUAGGUCGUUAGGAGAUCUACAAGUAAGUGGAAAAGCGAUGUUUCCUGUGGUUAGGAGCUGUGCAUGUUUCUGGAUCGUUCGCCUGUACCUAAUGCGUUAAAACAAGUACAAAUAAUGUGUAACGAAACAAAGAAAGUUGACUAUAAAGGGUUUACACAUACAAAAAAAAAAACUUUAUAUACACAUGUCUAUCAUAUAGAGCCUCAUUUCUUACUACGAUGUAUAUUAGUCGAUAAAAAAGAGAUUUAAAAA
RNAcentral lists this ribosomal RNA (1697 nucleotides) under Triticum aestivum (bread wheat). RNAcentral's name for it is "partial small subunit ribosomal RNA". The record is from RNAcentral. Lineage: Eukaryota; Viridiplantae; Streptophyta; Magnoliopsida; Poales; Poaceae.